AGCGACCCACCAGCCAACCCUUUUGGUUGCGCAUAGGCAUAGCCAACAGUCCUCACCUUCUCUUUUCCUUGGCAGCUUUAGCAGUAACUUCUCUCUUUGGGCUGACAAUAACCUCUCUCUUGGCAACAUCUUCUCCUAUCUAGCAGAAAAACUUAUAUGGAAUGGGGAUAACACUGUUUUGCUAUCCCUACCCAAUCACAGAAUGCC
RNAcentral lists this long non-coding RNA (207 nucleotides) under Prunus persica (peach). Its description in RNAcentral is "long non-coding RNA (PPER_LNC001803)". Lineage: Eukaryota; Viridiplantae; Streptophyta; Magnoliopsida; Rosales; Rosaceae. The record is from RNAcentral.